This 414-nucleotide ribosomal RNA is filed under the name uncultured prokaryote. RNAcentral's name for it is "bacterial SSU rRNA". It matches the Rfam family "Bacterial small subunit ribosomal RNA", at positions 505 to 918 of the family's 1533-position model. The record is from RNAcentral.
GUGUCAGCCGCCGCGGUAAUACGGGGGGAGCUAGCGUUGUCCGGAAUCACUGGGCGUAAAGGGCGUGUAGGCGGGCCGGCAAGUCAGAUGUGAAAUCCCACGGCUCAACCGUGGAGGGUCAUCUGAUACUGCUGGUCUUGAGUUCGGGAGAGGGUGGUGGAAUUCCCGGUGUAGCGGUGAAAUGCGUAGAUAUCGGGAAGAACACCGGAGGCGAAGGCGGCCACCUGGCCCGACACUGACGCUGAGGCGCGAAAGCGUGGGGAGCAAACAGGAUUAGAUACCCGGGUAGUCCUGGCCGUAAACGAUGGAUGCUAGAUGUGGGCGGGGAGACCCGUCCGUGUCGCAAGCUAACGCGUUAAGCAUCCCGCCUGGGGAGUACGGCCGCAAGGUUGAAACUCAAAUGAAUUGACGGGG